Molecule: ribosomal RNA, 254 nt
Filed under: uncultured bacterium
Lineage: Bacteria
Description: partial 16S ribosomal RNA
Rfam family: Bacterial small subunit ribosomal RNA
Source: RNAcentral
GACGUAGGGCGCAAGCGUUGUCCGGAUUUAUUGGGCGUAAAGAGCUCGUAGGCGGCUUGUCGCGUCGACUGUGAAAACCCGCGGCUCAACCGUGUGGUCUGCAGUCGAUACGGGCAGGCUAGAGUUCGGUAGGGGAGACUGGAGUUCCUGGUGUAGCGGUGAAAUGCGCAGAUAUCAGGAGGAACACCGAUGGCGAAGGCAGGUCUCUGGGCCACUACUGACGCUGAGAAGCGAAAGCAUGGGGAGCGAACAGG